RNAcentral lists this ribosomal RNA (253 nucleotides) under uncultured bacterium. RNAcentral's name for it is "partial 16S ribosomal RNA". It matches the Rfam family "Bacterial small subunit ribosomal RNA", at positions 524 to 776 of the family's 1533-position model. The record is from RNAcentral.
UACAGGGGGUGCAAACGUUGCUCGGAAUUAUUGGGCGUAAAGCGCGCGUAGGCGGCCACUUAAGUCGGAUGUGAAAGCCCCUGGCUCAACUGGGGAAGUGCACCCGAAACUGCGUAGCUAGAGUCCUGGAGAGGAAGGUGGAAUGCUUGGUGUAGAGGUGAAAUUCGUAGAUAUCAAGCGGAACACCGGUGGCGAAGGCGGCCCCCUGGUUGGAUACUGACGCUGAGACGCGAAAGCGUGGGGAGCAAACAGG